GAUCCUACGGGGCGCAGCAGUGGGGAAUAUUGCACAAUGGGCGAAAGCCUGAUGCAGCAACGCCGCGUGAAGGAAGAAGGUCUUCGGAUCGUAAACUUCUGUCCUUGGGGAAGAUAAUGACGGUACCCUUGGAGGAAGCCCCGGCUAACUACGUGCCAGCAGCCGCGGAAAUACGUAGGGGGCAAGCGUUAUCCGGAAUUAUUGGGCGUAAAGAGUGCGUUGGUGGUUACUUAAGCGCGGGGUGUAAGGCAAUGGCUCAACCAUUGUUCGCGCUGCGAACUGGGUUACUGGAGUGCAGGAGAGGG
This 305-nucleotide ribosomal RNA is filed under the name uncultured bacterium. RNAcentral describes it as "bacterial SSU rRNA". It matches the Rfam family "Bacterial small subunit ribosomal RNA", at positions 335 to 658 of the family's 1533-position model. The record is from RNAcentral.